Ricinus communis (castor bean) is the source of this 133-nucleotide non-coding RNA. The record is from Rfam. NCBI's taxonomy places the organism in Eukaryota, Viridiplantae, Streptophyta, Magnoliopsida, Malpighiales, Euphorbiaceae.
UUUGAGGGGAAUGUUGUCUGGCUCGAGGACUCUCUUUUGAUCCCUUUCAAUUUUCUCCAUAGAUCCAAUACGGAUAUUGGGAGUGGGUAGAUCAUUUGACAGUGUCGUCGGACCAGGCUUCAUUCCCCCCAAU